RNAcentral lists this ribosomal RNA (216 nucleotides) under Glomeromycotina sp. RNAcentral describes it as "partial small subunit ribosomal RNA". The stretch from base 75 to 216 matches the Rfam family "Eukaryotic small subunit ribosomal RNA", at positions 721 to 864 of the family's 1831-position model. The record is from RNAcentral. Lineage: Eukaryota; Fungi; Glomeromycota.
GGGUCAGUAGGUUGGUCGUGCCACCGGUACGUACUGGUCUCACUGAUACCUCCUUCCUGAAGAACCGUAAUGCCAUUAAUUUGGUGUUGCGGGGAAACAGGACAGUUACUUUGAAAAAAUGAGAGUGUUUAAAGCAAGCUAACGCUUGAAUACAUUAGCAUGGAAUAAUGAAAUAGGACGAUCGAUCCUAUUUUGUUGGUUUCUAGGAUUGACGUA